Molecule: long non-coding RNA, 941 nt
Organism: Hemibagrus wyckioides
Lineage: Eukaryota; Metazoa; Chordata; Actinopteri; Siluriformes; Bagridae
Exons: 2
Source: RefSeq, a predicted model, not a curated record
UCGUGAUUGAUACUGGUGUUUCUUUUCACUUAUCGCUUCACGCCUCGGUGGGAAUUCCGAAAAGAGAUCACAAGGAAUUCAACGUUACUGAACGCAACAUCUAAACAAUUAUCCCCGAGUGUCAGCAGGUUCAUGAGCGGGUGCAGGAGAAACAGCUGGCAAGAUUAAAUUAGUUGCUCCAGGAUUCUGCUCCGGGGUGAUUGUUGCCGAAAAAUGCUUGAUUUUUUCAUCGUGAUGUCACACAACAUGUCUCAACCGGAAUCUACGGAAAAUCCCCUCUAAAAAUCCCAUUUUGCAGUUUAUUUCUGUACCUCUCAGAAAUCCUGGCGGAACAUGAAUAGCACAUUACAAUAUAUUCAAAUAUUUUUAUAAUUAGGAUGAAAACACACUACACUUUUCAUAAACUAGCGAUAAGGAAGAAGCCUUUAUUAUCACCACACAUACAUUACAGCACAGUAGAAUUCUUUUCUUCACAUAUCCCAACUGAGGACGUUGGCGUCAGAGCGCAGGGGCAGCUAUGAUACAGCCCCCUGGAGCAGAGAGGGUUAAGGGUUGCCCAACAGUGUUAGCUUAGCAGCAACAACCCAGAACCUUAACCGGUUCAUAACAACAUCACAAACAGAACUUAAUCUCAUAUCACACUCAUUAACAUUACCUUCACGUUCCUGUUGAGAGGUUUGGAGAAACCAUGUGUUCUGAACACUAGCUUUAAUACACAGCCUUCGGCUAAUAAACCGCGGCUAUGUAAUGUGAUGACGGAAUUGCGUUAAGGAUUCUAUCAGUGCGUAAAAAUUUCAAUGUUCGUAUAAAGUGUUACCAAAGAACUGUGUUAUAAAUUUUGCUAUCAAGUCAGUAAGAUUUAACAUCAGUAGAUAUUUAAAAAUACACACACACACACACACACACACACACACACACACACACACACACACACACACACA